AGGGUUUGAUCAUGGCUCAGGAUGAACGCUGGCGGUAUGCCUUAUACAUGCAAGUCGUACGAGAGUUUUUAACUCAAGUGGCGGACGGGUGAGUAACACGUAAGAAUUUACCUUUAGGAGGGGGACAACAAUCGGAAACGGCUGCUAAUACCCCAUAUGCUUUCGAGUGAAAUGGAUUUUCCGCCUAGAGAGAAGCUUGCGGCUGAUUAGCUUGUUGGUAGAGUAAUAGCCUACCAAGGCGACGAUCAGUAUCUGGUUUGAGAGGACGAUCAGACACACUGGAACUGAGACACGGUCCAGACUCUUACGGGAGGCAGCAGUAGGGAAUUUUCCGCAAUGGGCGAAAGCCUGACGGAGCAACGCCGCGUGAGGGAUGAAGGCCUCUGGGCUGUAAGCCUCUUUUAUCAAGGAAGAAGAUCUGACGGUACUUGAUGAAUAAGCCACGGCUAAUUCCGUGCCAGCCGCCGCGGUAAUAC
Molecule: ribosomal RNA, 476 nt
Filed under: uncultured bacterium
Lineage: Bacteria
Description: bacterial SSU rRNA
Rfam family: Bacterial small subunit ribosomal RNA
Source: RNAcentral